CCUACGGGAGGCAGCAGUGGGGAAUAUUGCACAAUGGGGGAAACCCUGAUGCAGCGAGGCCGCGUGAGCGAAGAAGUAUUUCGGUAUGUAAAGCUCUAUCAGCAGGGAAGAAAAUGACGGUACCUGACUAAGAAGCCCCGGCUAACUACGUGCCAGCAGCCGCGGUAAUACGUAGGGGGCAAGGGUUAUCCGGAUUUACUGGGGUUAAGGGGUGCGCAGGUGGGAGAUCAAGUCAGCGGUAAAAUUGAGGGGCUCAACCUCUUAGCGCCGUUGAAACUGGUUUUCUUGAGUAUGGGAGAGGUAUGCGGAAUGCGUGGUGUAGCGGUGAAAUGCGUAGAGAUAAGGAAGAACACCGGUUGCGAAGGCAGCAUACCGGCGCUCAACUGACGCUGAUGCGCGAAAGUGUGGGGAGCGAACAGGAUUAGAUACCCGUGUAGUC
This 439-nucleotide ribosomal RNA is filed under the name uncultured bacterium. RNAcentral's name for it is "partial 16S ribosomal RNA". It matches the Rfam family "Bacterial small subunit ribosomal RNA", at positions 338 to 795 of the family's 1533-position model. The record is from RNAcentral.